CAGCCGCCGCGGUAAUACGUAGGUGGCAAGCGUUGUCCGGAAUUAUUGGGCGUAAAGGGCUCGCAGGCGGUUUCUUAAGUCUGAUGUGAAAGCCCCCGGCUCAACCGGGGAGGGUCAUUGGAAACUGGGAAACUUGAGUGCAGAAGAGGAGAGUGGAAUUCCACGUGUAGCAGUGAAAUGCGUAGAGAUGUGGAGGAACACCAGUGGCGAAGGCGACUCUCUGGUCUGUAACUGACGCUGAGGAGCGAAAGCGUGGGGAGCGAACAGGAUUAGAUACCCCAGUAGUCCCUGUCUCUUAUAC
RNAcentral lists this ribosomal RNA (301 nucleotides) under uncultured bacterium. RNAcentral's name for it is "partial 16S ribosomal RNA". It matches the Rfam family "Bacterial small subunit ribosomal RNA", at positions 509 to 807 of the family's 1533-position model. The record is from RNAcentral.